This 5169-nucleotide unclassified non-coding RNA is filed under the name Amphibalanus amphitrite. RNAcentral describes it as "furin-like protease 2, transcript variant X3". The record is from RNAcentral. Lineage: Eukaryota; Metazoa; Arthropoda; Thecostraca; Balanomorpha; Balanidae.
UAGGUCGCCGCCCUCCUCGCGAGGCCGGUAACGUAAGUUAGGGCCACUAAAAAAAAAAAAAAAAAAAAAAAAAAAGCGUUGUUUUUGUUUCUGUUGCUGGGGCACUGCAAGAUUAAUUAGCACUGCAUUAUGCUUUAGGCAAGGCUUUAGGGCCCUGCACUGCAUCAACAAAUUUGAAGUGGAUUGUUUCAAUUUCUUCUUGCACGAACGUAGCGAUGCGCGGCGGCGGCGGCGGCGGCUGGGCCGUGCUGGUCGUGCUGGCGGGCGUGGCGGCCGUGACCGCCGUGGAGUACACCAACCAAUUCGCCGUGGUGGUGGCCGGCGGUCGGGAGCGCGCCGCACGAGCCGCCGCCAAACACGGCUGCUCCCUGGUCGACUCGAUCGGCGACCUGACGGACCACUACCUGUUUGAGUGUCACACGGUGCACAAACGCUCCACACAGCACUCCCAGCACCACACCGACCGGCUCCGGGAGACAGACGAGAUACUAUGGGCGGACCAGCAAUACUACAAAACGCGCCGGAAGCGGGACGGCGCCGGUGACGGCGGUGGGCUGACUGAGGAGCUGCUGAACGAGAUCUCAGACUCGGGGCCCUCGGCGGCCGGGCCGCUGCGGCGCGCCACCCUGAAGGAGGAUCCUCCGCCGGCCAAUCAGGAGCCGCCGCCUCAGACGGAGUUCCGGCGCAGCACGGCGGCCGACUACUGGCCCGACCCGCUGUUCAAGGAGCAGUGGUACCUGAACGGCGGCGCCCGGGACGGCAGCGACAUGAACGUGCUGCCCGCCUGGCAGCAGGGCUACCGCGGCCAGGGCGUGGUCGUCUCCAUCCUGGACGACGGCAUCCAGCCCAACCACCCGGACCUGGCCGCAAACUACGACGGCAGGGCGUCCCUCGACAUCAACGACGACGACGACGACCCGACACCGCGCGACGAUGGCUUCAACCGGCACGGCACGCGCUGCGCCGGCGAAGUGGCCGCCAUCGCCGGCAACCAGUACUGCGGCGUCGGAGUGGCACCCAACGCCAGCAUCGGAGGAGUGCGCAUGCUGGACGGCGGGGUGAACGACUACGUGGAGGCCAAGGCGCUCAGCUACCGCAGGAACUACAUCGACGUCUACAGCGCCAGCUGGGGUCCCGAGGACGACGGCAAGACGGUGGACGGGCCCGGCCCGCUGGCGCGCCGCGCCUUCAUCGAGGGCGUGCUGAAGGGCCGCGGCGGCAAGGGCUCCAUCUUCGUCUGGGCCUCCGGUAACGGCGGCCGCUACGUGGACAACUGCAACUGUGACGGCUACACCAACAGCAUCUUCACGCUGUCCAUCUCCUCGGCCACGCAGGGCGGGAAGAAGCCGUGGUACCUGGAGGAGUGUGCUUCCACCCUGGCCACCACAUACAGCUCCGGUCUGCCGUCCCAGGACAAAUCGAUCGCCACCUGCGACCAGGACGCCGCCCUCCGGCCCAAACACAUCUGCACCGUGUCACACACAGGUACCUCGGCGUCGGCUCCGCUGGCCGCCGGUAUCAUCGCGCUGACGCUGGGAGCCAACCCCAACCUGACCUGGCGGGACAUGCAGUAUAUUACGCUGAUGACGUCUCGGCCGGAGCCACUGGCGCACGAGCUCGGCUGGCUCACCAACGGUGUCGGACGGAAGGUGAGCCACAAGUUUGGGUACGGCCUGAUGGACGCUGGAGCCAUGGUGGACCUGGCCAGGCGGUGGCACACUGUGCCCACACAGCACAUCUGUAUCACCCCUCUGGACAGCCGUACUCGCCGAAUCCCACCCGAGGAGGGCGGCGAGCUACACACAUCGAUGGAAGUGAACGCGUGCCAGGGCUCGCCGCAGUCGGUCAACUUUCUCGAGCACGUGCAGUGCAAGGUGACGCUGACACACGUGCCGCGCGGCGGCCUGCGCAUCCUGCUCAGCUCUCCGUCCGGCACUGUCAGCACACUGCUGUUCGAGCGGCCGCAGGACGUGCUGGGAAGCAGCUUCGACCGCUGGCCCUUCAUGUCGGUGCACUUCUGGGGCGAGCGACCCGAGGGCGUCUGGAACCUGACGGUGGUCAACACCAAGGCGGCAGCGUCGGCGGGCACCUCCAGUUCGGACAGCGUGCUCAAGGAGUGGCAGCUGAUCCUGUACGGGACCGAGCAGGAGCCCGUCCACCUGACACCGGCCGAACAGGGCACCGGCAGUGACGCUGGCGCCGGCCACUCUGCCGUGGUCAGUCGCAGCGAGGACUCGUCACCGGGCGUGUACUGCAGUCGCAGCUGUGUGCUGGCCUGUCAGAGUCAGCCCGCAGCCGAUAUGUGUAAACGGUGCCGCGACCACUAUAAGAGCCCGUGUCAGCGCUGGUGUGACCCCGGCACGUACUACGGCGGCGAGGCGGGCUGUCAGCCGUGCCACGCCACGUGCGCCACGUGUCUGGGCCGGCUGGCCAACCAGUGCAUGGACUGCGCGGCCGGCCACUACCUGAUCGCCGACCUGAGCGUGUGCGUGCCCGCCUGUCCGGACGGCUACUUCACAGCGAACGAGACGUGCCAGUCGUGCGGCCCGCACUGCACGGCCUGUGACGGCUCUGCCAACCACUGCGUCAGCUGCGCGCCGCACCUGUUCCUGCACAACAGCCAGUGUGUGGCCUCGUGUCCGGCCGGCACCUACCGGCUCCAGCAGAGGUGUGAGCGUUGCGCCGACGGUUGUAUGACGUGCAUCGGUCCGAACGACAACAACUGUGUGCUGUGUCGCCGGGGCCUGUUCCACUUCAACGGACAGUGCGUCAACUCCUGCCCGCCAGGCACGUUCGGGGAGGCGGUGAGCGGCGAGUGUGUCGCCUGCUGGCCGGGCUGUGACGAGUGCAGCGGUCAGCGGGCGUGUCGGCGCUGCGCCCGCGGCUGGCUGCCGAUCCGCGACGGCACCUGUCAUCCGGAUAAUGGACCCUGUCCUGAAGGGGAGUUUUACGACGGCGAGUCGUGCGGCCGGUGCCACCGCAGCUGUCUGGCCUGCACGGGCCCCAUGGCUGUCGAGUGCUCGCGCUGCCAGCCGGCCUCCGUCCUGCACAACGGCCUCUGUUACGCCGAGUGCCCGGAGGGCUGGUGGGCCUCGGACGGCGUCUGCCGGCGCUGCCACCACACCUGUCAGGACUGCAGCGGCCAGCGCGGCUGCACAGUCUGUCAGCAGGACCUGCUGAUGCACGGCGACACCUGCGUCACCGCCUGUCCCGUCAGGACGUACCGGGCUCUGGACGAGUGUCUGCCCUGCUCGCCGGGCUGCGUGCGGUGCGUCGGCGGCCGCGCGGACGAGUGUGUCGCCUGCGGAGAGGGUCUGCUGCUGACUGGGGGUAGCUGUGUGUCCCGCUGUCCGGACGGCCAGUUCGCCGCGGGGGAGGUCUGCCGGCGCUGCCACCACUCCUGCCGCACGUGCACAGGCGGCGGUAUGACGGGCUGCACCUCGUGCGCCCGCGGCUUCCAAAUGCGGCCCGCCGAGCGCGCGUGCGUGCCGUGCGCCGACCACGAGUUCUACUCGCCACGGGACGCCACGUGCCGGACGUGCCACCCCUCGUGCGCCACGUGUCACGGCGCCGGCCCCGAGAACUGCACCUCGUGCGCCGGAGAUCUGCACCUAGAGAAGCAGCGCGGUCGGUGUGUGCCCUGCUGUGACAGACACCGGCCGCUGCCCGAUACCGACUCGUGCUGUACCUGUGACCCGUCCGGAGAUCACUGUGUGCGGGGCACCUGGCGGCGCACGGCCGGGCCAGAGUUCCAGCCGCUGGAGCCGGCGACCUCCGACGGCACAUUCAGCUGGUUCUACGUGCAGGCGGUGGGCGGGUGCGCCGCCACGCUUCUGCUGUUCGUACUCAUCUUCUUGGGCCUACAGUGUCACGGCCGUGGUCCUCGCCGAGCUCCGGUCCUGGAGCUCACGGAAAACGAGGAGCGACUCGCGCUCACCGAAUACCAAAACGAAGACAACCUGGACGACCUGAGUGACAGCGAAGAGCAUCUAGUUGUGUUCGACACACGGACUUAGCGCUUGGUUUCCUGGGCGUCGGCCGGUGCUCGGUCUUGAUGCUGCCUCUAACGAGAGUAUUUUUGUACAGCAUCUUGUGUGCCAUACCCGACCUUGGCGUGGGUUGAGAGGUCGGCUUCGCUAUCAACAGUUAGCUCUUAUCUAGCAUUUUCUGUGAUGGAACCUGUGAAGACUCAUCGAAGUUGCAUUUGUGAUGCACUGUGGUUCUCGUUUUGAAUUCGCCAGAGUGCUGCUUUUCAUCGUGGUUGAUGUUGAUCCUUGUCUAAACUUUUUUUUGUUAUUCUGAUAUGAAAAGGUGCUCAGAAGGGCGGAAUGCAUUCCAUCGAAACUUUCCGAUGCUGGGGAAAUAUGCCGCUCACGCAUUCGCUGAAGCUCUUAUCGGAGCGGUAAUGCAUAAUCUAGCCAGCCGGGUUUAUUGAAUAAUGGAUGAUGAUGCCGCUCUCAGUUUGUUGGUUGGCCUCGUCGAUGAUGUCUUUGAUGCGUAUCGGUCUGUGUUGUUUGCAAUGUGGAGUGCCGAAUGUCGCUGCGUGAAAGAGAAUCGAAGUGGUUUUAAUGAUGUUUCGGAAUGCUUGAUUUGAUUAGACCAACGUGUGCUGCCCGCUUGCACUUAUAUAUCCCACCGAGUCCGGCACUGUGCCGCUCUUUGACGCUGGUCACGCAUGAUGGUGCGUGUUGUGAUGUGGCAUUGACGAAUGAUCCUUAAUUAUCCUGUGUUCUUAGAAGUGCCAUAUUCGCCGAUAUGUCUUGAUCUGACAGGUGCUGAAUGUUCAGCCGCUCCCCGUCUCCCUCUGCGUCUCUGUCUCCCCUCUGCGUCUCUCCGUCUCCCCUGCUCUGUCUCCCAGUGAGCGGCUUACUGUGAGCACCCGCCGCCUAUCCCGAUGAUUGCGUCUGUCCGAGAAGGAUAGAUUUGCCGGCCGGCCGGCCAGGUGAACGGUAAUGCUCAGAUUACCUGCCCGGGGCGGCCGCCGCGCGGACGGACGCCUCAUGUGUGCGCCGGCCUCGGCUUCGAUCACAGCGAUCGUGUGCCCGGCCGUACCACUCGUGCGUCCUUGGUGAAUCGUCGGGGCCAGUGUCGUAUCUAUAUGUAUUGUGACGUGAAUGGAAUACUGUUCUCAUGGGAAACUAUAUACGCUGAAUAUAUGCGUUGUGAUUA